Molecule: ribosomal RNA, 677 nt
Filed under: uncultured Acidobacteriota bacterium
Lineage: Bacteria; Pseudomonadati; Acidobacteriota
Description: SSU rRNA
Rfam family: Bacterial small subunit ribosomal RNA
Source: RNAcentral
CUAGUUGGUGAGGUAAUGGCUCACCAAGGCGUCGAUCCGUAGCCGGCCUGAGAGGGCGGUCGGCCACACUGACACUGAAUAACGGGUCAGACUCCUACGGGAGGCAGCAGUCGGGAAUUUUGGGCAAUGGGCGCAAGCCUGACCCAGCAACGCCGCGUGAAGGAUGAAAUCUUUCGGGAUGUAAACUUCACAAGAACGGGAAGAAUAAGUAAGUGUAAAUACCACUUAUGAUGACGGUACUGUUUGUAAGCUCCGGCUAACUCCGUGCCAGCAGCCGCGGUAAUACGGGGGGAGCAAGCGUUGUUCGGAUUUACUGGGCGUAAAGGGCGCGUAGGCGGCGCAACAAGUCACUUGUGAAAUCUUCAGGCUUAACCUGAAGCGGCCAAGUGAUACUGUCGUGCUAGAGUGCGGAAGGGGCAACUGGAAUUCUUGGUGUAGCGGUGAAAUGCGUAGAUAUCAAGAGGAACACCUGCGGCGAAGGCGGGUUGCUGGGCCGACACUGACGCUGAGGCGCGAAAGCUAGGGGAGCGAACGGGAUUAGAUACCCCGGUAGUCCUAGCCUUAAACGAUGAAUGCUUGGUGUCCGAGGUUAGAUAGUCCUCGGGUGCCGUCGCUAACGCUUUAAGCAUUCCGCCUGGGGAGUACGGUCGCAAGACUGAAACUCAAAGGAAUUGACG